RNAcentral lists this unclassified non-coding RNA (406 nucleotides) under Hevea brasiliensis (rubber tree). The record is from RNAcentral. Lineage: Eukaryota; Viridiplantae; Streptophyta; Magnoliopsida; Malpighiales; Euphorbiaceae.
GCACGUUGUUUCUCAGUGCUCCAACUAGCCCUGCUCGUGUCUCCGCUGCUCUCUCUGAUGAUUUCCACAUGAGUAGUGGUGGGGAAGGUGUAAAAGUACCCGGUGAAGUUCCGUUUAAUUGGGAGGAAAGGCCUGGAAUUCCGAAAUCAAGAGAUGAGGGGGAGGAGGAGGAUUUUGUUUUCGAUUUUAGUGGACAGUUGGAAAGAAGCUCUGUUUCAGCUGCUGAUGAGCUUUUUGAUGGUGGAAAGAUUAGGCCUUUAAAGCCACCACCUAGAGUACAAUAUGAAGCUCAUUACAAACCAUUCGAUUCGCCUAGAUCGCCUAAGCAGAGAUUCAAGCAAACUUUCUCUCCGCGAAAUAAGAAGGAGGUUGAUCCAUUUGCUGCAGCCAUACAACACACUGCUCG